Molecule: ribosomal RNA, 253 nt
Filed under: uncultured bacterium
Lineage: Bacteria
Description: partial 16S ribosomal RNA
Rfam family: Bacterial small subunit ribosomal RNA
Source: RNAcentral
UACGUAGGGUGCAAGCGUUGUUCGGAAUGACUGGGCGUAAAGCGCGCGUAGGCGGAUUGGCAAGUUGGGGGUGAAAUCCCGGGGCUCAACCUCGGAAUGGCCUUCAAGACUGCUGGUCUUGAGUUCGAGAGAGGUGAGUGGAAUUCCGAGUGUAGAGGUGAAAUUCGUAGAUAUUCGGAGGAACACCAGUGGCGAAGGCGGCUCACUGGCUCGACACUGACGCUGAGGUGCGAAAGCGUGGGGAGCAAACAGG